GACGAACGCUGGCGGCGUGCUUAACACAUGCAAGUCGAACGGAAAGGCCCUGCUUUUGUGGGGUGCUCGAGUGGCGAACGGGUGAGUAGCACGUGAGUAACCUGCCCUUGACUUUGGGAUAACUUCAGGAAACUGGGGCUAAUACCGGAUAGGAGCUCCUGCUGCAUGGUGGGGUUGGAAAGUUUCGGCGGUUGGGGAUGGACUCGCGGCUUAUCAGCUUGUUGGUGGGGUAGUGGCUUACCAAGGCUUUGACGGGUAGCCGGCCUGAGAGGGUGACCGGCCACAUUGGGACUGAGAUACGGCCCAGACUCCUACGGGAGGCAGCAGUGGGGAAUAUUGCACAAUGGGCGGAAGCCUGAUGCAGCAACGCCGCGUGCGGGAUGACGGCCUUCGGGUUGUAAACCGCUUUCGCCUGUGACGAAGCGUGAGUGACGGUAAUGGGUAAAGAAGCACCGGCUAACUACGUG
RNAcentral lists this ribosomal RNA (467 nucleotides) under uncultured bacterium. RNAcentral describes it as "partial 16S ribosomal RNA". It matches the Rfam family "Bacterial small subunit ribosomal RNA", at positions 28 to 507 of the family's 1533-position model. The record is from RNAcentral.